ACGCUGAAGGCAUCUAAGCGUGAAACUCUCCCUAAGAUAAGAUCUCCACUGAGGCUCGACGUAGACUAUGUCGUUGAUAGGUCAGAGGUGGAAGCGCAGUAAUGUGUGUAGCUGACUGAUACUAAUAAGCCGAAAGCUUGAUCUA
RNAcentral lists this ribosomal RNA (145 nucleotides) under Oscillospiraceae bacterium. RNAcentral's name for it is "partial 23S ribosomal RNA". It matches the Rfam family "Bacterial large subunit ribosomal RNA", at positions 2768 to 2925 of the family's 2925-position model. The record is from RNAcentral. Lineage: Bacteria; Bacillati; Bacillota; Clostridia; Eubacteriales; Oscillospiraceae.